Molecule: long non-coding RNA, 1609 nt
Organism: Pseudopipra pipra
Lineage: Eukaryota; Metazoa; Chordata; Aves; Passeriformes; Pipridae
Exons: 3
Source: RefSeq, a predicted model, not a curated record
GCUGGGGGCCUGCCGGGGAGGGAAGAACGGCGGCAGCCCUUUCCCCGUUCCUCCCGUGCUCCGGGACCCCGAGCAGAGCUGCUCGUUUGUCCCCGUGUCCCUGUGUCUGUCCUCAGGCGGCCCCAGGAGCUGGCACUGACCGUGCCGCGGGUCGGGCACAGGCUGCUCCCAGCUCUGCCUGCGGAACUUCGGCAAUUACCGACAGCAGUUCUUUGCCCUGCCAUCCAGAAGGUGCGGCUCAUCUGACACCAGCCAGACGGGGAAGGCCUUGCCUGGGAGGGAAACGGCUACAGGGGAGGAAACCAAGAAAUGCUCCAACCGGAUGGUGCUGCGCGAGUCAAAAGAGGGGCAAGACCGCGGGCAAAUACAGUCAGGAAAUGAGCUUUUAUUCAAUCUCUGCAGGAGCCCUUCGCAGCCACGGGCCGGAGGGAGCGCGGCCGGCUGGGCUGUGCCCGGCUGGGGACGGGCACCAAUUCAUCGCUGCCCUGCUCAGGGAGGUUUUCCGGCCCCGUCCGGGCUUCACCCAACGGCUGCAAAGGUGCUCGUGCGGCAUCCGAGCUCAUUUCCAGGGAUAAAGGAGCCAAACGAGUCCGGAGGGAUCCCUCGCUCCGAGGCAAAGGCGUUUGGUCGAGUGUCGCCGCCUGGUCCCGCCUGCGGGGGAGCGUCUCCUCCAGGUGAGCCUUCGGAACCCAAAAUGCCGGGGGGGCUCAGGUCGGGGCCGCUUUUCGGGCCCGGAGUUGGACGGAGCCCUCGGCGGCUCCUGCUUCCCGCCAGGAACGUUCUCGGGGCUCCCUGGGCAGUCCCAGCUGGGCAGGGAACGCGGGCCGGGAGGAGGUCGGAGCGACAGACAGCGACCCAGCCCUGCUUGGGCUUCCUAUUGCCAGGGGAUGGAGGAGCUGUGCCCUGGAGCUGUGCCCUACAGCCCCCGUGGGGUGGGCACGGGGAAAGGGCUGCCCGCGGCUCCUCAGCCGGGCGCUGCUCUGAACGGGCCCCCUGAGAUGCCUCACCCUGGACACGCCCCAGCGCCAGCCCCAAAGGACCCAAAGAAUCCAGCUGGCACUCGGCAGUGUCGGCACGGCGGGGCUGCAGAGCAGCGCGGGCAGCCAUUCCCAGGGCCCACCUCCCAGAGCUCCCCCGCGCCCCCCACGUGUGUCCCGCCCGCCCCAAAUCCCUGCCCUUCCAGCCGGAGGCCAGCAGCCAGCAGCAGCCUUAAAGCCAGGGCCAUGUGCCCUCAGCGGCACUAAAUCCCGAGCAAGAGCCCUCGGAGAUGCCUGAAAAGAAAAGAGGGUGCUUGGAGAAAGUUGGGCUUGGAUGCAAUUCGCAGUUUUUCGGGGACCCAACCGCACCUGCAGAACCCGUGGACAGCUGGAACAGUUUCCCAGGGAGAAGAACAGGAACUCACAGCCACCAAGGCCUGACAGUCCCCUGCAGCCAGAGCUCAGCACACAGCCAGAGAGGCAAUUCCAGCAUCUAAAAGAAAAAAAAGAAGAAAAAAGUGAUUUAUUUUGUUUUCAAGUUAUUUUAAGUUGUUCCAAGCAAAGCAAGCCUUGCUCUGGUUUCAGUUGGGUGAACAGGGAGCGCUGGGCACAGGGCACGUCAUUAAUGCCCA